Molecule: long non-coding RNA, 175 nt
Organism: Saccostrea cuccullata (small rock oyster)
Lineage: Eukaryota; Metazoa; Mollusca; Bivalvia; Ostreida; Ostreidae
Exons: 3
Source: RefSeq, a predicted model, not a curated record
CAGCUCAGUUAAGCACUCCAGUUAUAAAUACAAAUAUAUCCUAAACAAAUAGAAUUCAGGAGCAACAGUCAAAAAGUGACGUCAUAAAAACCAAAGAAGAAAUAAAAACAGAACCCAAUGGGACAGACCUUAGUUAUGAGGAUCUGGAGGGAGCUAUUGGGUACACGCCCCCCAA